GUGUUUCAGCAACACAUAUACUAAAUUUGGAACGAUACAGAGAUUAACAUGGCCCCUGCACAAGGAUGACACGCAAAUUCGUGAAGCAUUCCAUAUUUUU
Dipodomys ordii (Ord's kangaroo rat) is the source of this 100-nucleotide small nuclear RNA. NCBI's taxonomy places the organism in Eukaryota, Metazoa, Chordata, Mammalia, Rodentia, Heteromyidae. The record is from Ensembl.